RNAcentral lists this ribosomal RNA (323 nucleotides) under uncultured eukaryote. RNAcentral describes it as "partial 18S ribosomal RNA". It matches the Rfam family "Eukaryotic small subunit ribosomal RNA", at positions 1470 to 1796 of the family's 1831-position model. The record is from RNAcentral.
CCCUUAGAUGUUCUGGGCUGCACGCGUGCUACACUGAUAUUGCCAAUAUGUCAUUCUUAUCCGAAAUGGAUUGGGUAAUCAAGUAAUGAAAUUUCAUGCUUGGAAUCGGUAAUUGCAAUUUUAUCGUGAACGAGGAAUUCCUAGUAAGCACUAGUCAUCAGCUAAUGUUGAUUAUGUCCCUGCCCUUUGUACACACCGCCCGUCGCUACUACUGAUUGGGUGUUCAAGUGAGAUGCUUAGACCCUUAUUGCAUGGUUCAUUAUUGUGCUCCGAAAGGAAAAAGUUUCAAGCUUGAGUGUCUAGAGGAAGUAAAAGUCGUAACA